AUAAAUCACGUGCCUCUUCUUUUGCAGUCUUUGCUUUCGCUUUGACUCAUUCAUGACUAGCAAGUUCAAUUCUCUUUUCUCCAGCUGAGCUCUUCUCAACUCGAUCAUUAUAAGAGUGGGAUUGUCUUACAUUACCUCGGCUCUAUAAAAUUUUCAUGGUUGACAUGCUGAACUUCAAUAAUUCAAUUAAGAAAUGGGGGGAACACCAAAGAGUUAAUGCUCUACUUUAAUAAUAUAAUCAAGAAACAGGGAGAACAAAAAAAAAUUAAUGCUAAACAUCAAUAAUUCAAUCAUGAAACAAGGAAAAAAACAAAGAAUUAAUGCUAAAAUCAAAAUUGAUUGUCAUAAAAAAAGAAGAUUCAAAACUUCAUCUCCUAGCUCGGUCAAUACUCCUCAAACACUCCAAGUUCAUGUAACUCCAUUUUUUCCAAGUUUUCAUUCUCCCACCAAAAUUCCCUCUCACCUUUACCCAACUUUUCAACCAUUGGAUUGCGGGAAGCACAAUUCGAAACUUUAUCUCUUAGCCAGUUUAGUAUCUUCUUCAACACUCCGAGUUCACGCAAAUCCAUUUUUUUCCAAGUUUUCAUUCUCCCACCAAAAUUCCCUCUCACUUUUACCCCCUCUCUUCAACCACCAGAUUGUGGGCAUCAUCAAGAAAAUGGCAUCGAUUCAAAAUGGAUUCCACAGAGGGUUCACCAAAAAUGAAAAACUUGUUACCUAGAGCUUGAAUGAGGAUUGUUACAUCUGUGCCACACAAUAGGCGCAUUUCCGCAGCCUUCUUGAAAAGACCCUUCUACCUCUUGGAGAAAGGAACUUGUAAACUUGUUUUCUUGUUGAUCUUUUGGAUUUCAAUUGCUAGACAUUAGGAUGUUGUCUACCAAUUAUCGAAAUAUUGGUUUAACUCAUCCUUUUGUUGUCAAUCUUUCUAAAUUUUAGAUUACGAGUGUGUUUGAUUGACAUGAAAAAUAUCACAUAGAAAAGAAAAUAUUUUCCUUAUUUGAGGAAAAUAAAAAUCAUCUCCACCUAAGAAAAAUAUUUUCCUUAAAAACAAGGAAAAUUAGACAUAUUUUCAAAAGUUGGAAAAUAUUUUCCAUGGAAAAAAAUAGCAAUCAAACACUCCAAGUAGGAAUUUGGGUGGAAAAAUGAUAUUUUCCAAGGAAAAUAAAUGUAAUCAAACACACUCUAAGAUAACAAAGGCACAACAUUUUUUAUAAUGAAAAAAUUUAAUUUACUUUUGAUGUGCAACAUAGAUUAGAAGACCCUAAUUAUUAUUAUUCUCUGUUACGUGUCUUAUUGUCUUGUUUUCCUAAACAUGUUAAGAAAAGAGUUUUGGAACAUCCAUUUAAAGGUUUUCUAGUUAACUGGCCAUCACACUUAAAUAAAAGUUGUAUUUUCCAUGUGGAAGAAUUGUUUCAUUAUUGGGGCCUAUUCAAGACUUCGAUGUUGCAAUCAUUUUUUUAACGGCCAGUCUACAGUAUUAGUUCCUUGUGCUAUCCUUUAUGUACAACCAUUUGAAGAUUUUGUGGUUGAGUUGCAUAAGUUUGUUUUUUCAGGAUUUUCCUGUUGCAAUUUGGUUAGAAUGAGAGAUCAUCCUCCUUGAUUAGAUCAUAUUCUUGGGGAUAAUUUGCAAACUCAAUUGAUGUCGCAUGAUCAGUUCAGAUACUUGGUUCUUAAGAAAGAUCGUCAUCCUUUGUAUGAGUUUAGCAAUUGAUGUUACUCAAAGAGAGAUCAUCCUCCUUGGUCAGAUCAUAUUUUUGGGGAUAAUUUACAAAUUCAAUUGAUGUCGCAUGAUCAGUUCAGAUACUUGGUUCUUAAGAAAGAUCGACAUCCUUAGUAUGAGUUUAGCAAUUGAUGUUACUCAAAAUUCAGUUUAGACACUUGAUCAAGACAAAAGAUUGCCCUCCUUGGCUACGAAGUUCCAAUCUCACUCGUCGGAGUCUACUUCUUUUAGUCGAGGAUAAAUGAUGGAGAUAAGAUAGACACUAAAAUAAAGAUAAAUUUAAAUUAGGAUUCUAUAGUAGUAGUUUGAUUUAAAAUAUAUUAUUUAGAUUUGAUUUGAUUUGAUUUGAUAUUCUUUCAAUUUCUAACUCUAUAAAUAAAGGGGCUUAUUCAUUGUAAUGAAUAAUCUUGAUGGUAUGAAUAAAGAUUGGGUUUUCAUCUUGCCCUCAAUUCUUUUUUUUGGUUCCCUUUCUUUCUUAAUCUUUAAUUAUUCUUUAACAAGUUAUUCGCAUCAUGCGUCAACUUGGUUAACAGUCCAAAAAAAUUUUGUUGUUGCUAAAGAAGGGCAGAAUAAGGGCACCCAUGUGGUAUAGCCAACCAAUUCAAGCAUCAUUAGCUUGGAUAAAGGAAGAAACUUAUAGGAACUUCUAAAAUGUUUUAAUUGAAUACACUGUAUUUUUAGAAAUUUUUUAAAAGUCUAUAAAAACCUUAAUUGAAUAUUCCAAUACCUUUUGAGAGUCAAAAAAAAUUUACAUCGAAUACCGCUAAACUUUUUAAAUUUCAAAAACCCAUUAAAAGUCUUAAUUAAAUGCAUCACCUUCGUCUUCUCCGAGCUAGGCCCCUAAACCCCCAACCCAUCCCCAGACACCCAAACAAAAGCUGAUGGAGGCUAAAAGAUUGAUCUCAGGCGAAAUUCCUAAGUUUUCGAUCUCUUCAAUUUCGGUUUCACACACACACAUGGAGACUCAGUUGAUUCGACUUUUCUCUUGUUCUCCUCUAAUCUCUUGAAUUAUCUACACAUCUAUAGGCGUAGAUUACAAUCAAACACGCAUACAUAUGAGUCCGGAGUUGUUAUUCAGAGGGCACAAGACGUCGUCUGUAGCAGAAAAGUACUCACCAAAGAUGCAAAUCCGUGGUUGAGUGUGAUUCGUCUGAUUUGAUAAAUGUUUUGUGAACGGUGACUCAUAUUUAUUUUCGUAGGCAUUACCAUCGCCACUGCCAUCUUUGCCCUCCUUCAAUAUUUCGAGCUCUAUCUCUAACUCAGCUUUUCCCUUCGAGUUGACUCAGCCUCAUAGACUCAUCAACUAGAAUGGCCAUGCCCACUGAGUUUGGAUUUGGGCCGUCC
This 3064-nucleotide long non-coding RNA is filed under the name Olea europaea (common olive). RNAcentral describes it as "long non-coding RNA (OEUR_LNC008273)". Lineage: Eukaryota; Viridiplantae; Streptophyta; Magnoliopsida; Lamiales; Oleaceae. The record is from RNAcentral.